CGGUGUGUGGCGGAAAUGGCAUACGCAGGGAAUCAGAUUCAAGAGAUAGCAUCAAAUGUGGAACUUACCCAAAAUUACAGGUUCGACCCCUGUCACACCGA
Molecule: transfer RNA, 101 nt
Filed under: Kapaibacterium sp. (SeqCode)
Lineage: Bacteria; Pseudomonadati; Bacteroidota; Eximiradiia; Eximiradiales; Kapaibacteriaceae (SeqCode)
Description: tRNA-OTHER
Source: RNAcentral